Molecule: transfer RNA, 72 nt
Filed under: Bos taurus (domestic cattle)
Lineage: Eukaryota; Metazoa; Chordata; Mammalia; Artiodactyla; Bovidae
Also listed under: 1 other name
Rfam family: tRNA
About the family: Transfer RNA (tRNA) molecules are approximately 80 nucleotides in length. Their secondary structure includes four short double-helical elements and three loops (D, anti-codon, and T loops).
Source: Rfam by way of RNAcentral
UCUCUGGUGGCUCAGAGGUUAAAGCGUCUGCCUGUAGUGUAGGAGACCUGGGUUCGAUCCCUGGGUUGGGAA